GCAAGUCGAACGAAGAACGAUGGGAGCUUGCUCCUAUCAAUCUUAGUGGCGAACGGGUGAGUAACGCGUAAUCAACUGCCUUCAAUGGGGGACAACAGUUGGAAACGACUGCUAAUACCGCAUACGAUCGUAAUUCGGCAUCGAGAUACGAUGAAAGGUGGCCUCUAUUUAUAAGCUAUCGUUGAAGGAGGGGAUUGCGUCUGAUUAGCUAGUUGGAAGGGUAACGGCCCACCAAGGCAAUGAUCAGUAGCCGGUCUGAGAGGAUGAACGGCCACAUUGGGACUGAGACACGGCCCAAACUCCUACGGGAGGCAGCAGUGGGGAAUCUUCCGCAAUGGACGAAAGUCUGACGGAGCAACGCCGCGUGAGUGAUGAAGGUCUUCGGAUUGUAAAGCUCUGUUAAUCGGGACGAAAGAGCCUAGUGUGAAUAAUGCUAGGAAGUGACGGUACCGGAAUAGAAAGCCACGGCUAACUACGUGCCAGCAGCCGCGGUAAUACGUAGGUGGCAAGCGUUGUCCGGAAUUAUUGGGCGUAAAGCGCGCGCAGGCGGAUCUGCCAGUCUGUCUUAAAAGUUCGGGGCUUAACCCCGUGAUGGGAUGGAAACUACAGGUCUAGAGUAUCGGAGAGGAAAGUGGAAUUCCUAGUGUAGCGGUGAAAUGCGUAGAUAUUAGGAAGAACACCAGUGGCGAAGGCGACUUUCUGGACGAAAACUGACGCUGAGGCGCGAAAGCCAGGGGAGCGAACGGGAUUAGAUACCCCGGUAGUCCUGGCCGUAAACGAUGGGUACUAGGUGUAGGAGGUAUCGACCCCUUCUGUGCCGCAGUUAACGCAAUAAGUACCCCGCCUGGGGAGUACGACCGCA
RNAcentral lists this ribosomal RNA (862 nucleotides) under uncultured bacterium. Its description in RNAcentral is "bacterial SSU rRNA". It matches the Rfam family "Bacterial small subunit ribosomal RNA", at positions 57 to 890 of the family's 1533-position model. The record is from RNAcentral.